Molecule: long non-coding RNA, 968 nt
Organism: Ctenopharyngodon idella (grass carp)
Lineage: Eukaryota; Metazoa; Chordata; Actinopteri; Cypriniformes; Xenocyprididae
Exons: 2
Source: RefSeq, a predicted model, not a curated record
GCAGUCAGGUGACCGAGUACCAGGCCAGGCUCAAGAUUAGAUUGGGAAGUCGGACAGCUGUUUGCAUGCUGAGAGCUAAUGAGAAAGAUAUGCAGUGUGUGCUUCAAGAGCAGCAGGCCUUUGCCGUACUAUCUGUGCUGACACAUAGACACACAGGAAGAGAAGACAUUGCCUCCAAUCCUAAGUUCAAGCUGCUGUAAUGUUUGUGAGUUGAAAGGAUCCAGACAUGCCAGACCUUGACGUUAAGUCUCUGACAGAGUCAGUUUCACAGAGAAGGGAGGAGGACUCGUCACAGCAGAUGUUCAGCUGUCCCGUUGUAAACAUGAAGACUCUGGCAACAACAACGGAGAUAAGGGAAGGAAUGGAGCUUUCUGCAAAGUCCCAUGACUCACCAACAGGAUUUGCUCAUCCCUGCGCCAGCAGACCACAGAGAGUGCCUGUGAAGAACUCUGACCACAAACUGACCGUAGCGACAGGCUUCCAUGUUGGAUAUGUGCCUUCAUUACUGCUUAUUUGGAAGAUUAUAUCAUGGCAGCUCUGAAUAUGGAACAUUGUGGCAUUCACACAUAAAUGUGUGUUUUUGUUUUGUUUUAUUUUGUUUUGUUUUUUACUUUGAGUAAACAAAAAGGAAGAUGCAGCCAUGGAAUGCAGGCAUUCCAAGGAGGAAUGUCAGGUUUACAGUGGAAAAAAAAAAAAAAAAAAAAAUCAAGCUUAUGACUGAUAUUUUAAAAGAAGAAACACUAAGGCACAAGUAAACAAAUUAUUAUUUUUCUGAACAUUACAGACAACUUUAUAAAAAUAUGAACAAGCUCACAAGUCAGGACUCCAGAAAAGUGAUGAUUAGCACUUGUUCCUAAAAUGAUACAUUUUGGAGCCAAAUUAUUUUUCAUUUUAAUUAAAUUAUUUCUUAAGUAGAAAAAUUACAAAAUCGCUCUACAGUUCCUCACAACUAUGUUCCUUUUUUUUUU